CACUGACCUGUCCCCUCCAGCGUACAGACGUAUCUCAGAUGUGUCUCCAGAGUACAGAUACAUCUCAGAUGUAUCUCCAGAGUACAAAGUUUUGGUGUCUCUUGCUCUGCAGUCAGCCCAUCACCUGCUCCCGUGACUCCACUGUGCUUUAUUCCCCUGUCGUGGGCUGCGAGCUCGUCCUGACCCCUCAGGCACGCCGGCUGGGGGAAGUCUCUGACUGCGAUCCCGCCUCGAUAACGCCGCGAUUCCGCUCAGGCGGCUUCUGUGCGGGAGUAAAAGCGCCGUGUUCCAGCCGCAGAACUUCUUGCUCCUGAGGAAACACUGUGCCUUUGUGCCAUUGCACAAUCCAAUAAACCUUGCGUUGCUGA
Molecule: long non-coding RNA, 368 nt
Organism: Haemorhous mexicanus (house finch)
Lineage: Eukaryota; Metazoa; Chordata; Aves; Passeriformes; Fringillidae
Exons: 2
Source: RefSeq, a predicted model, not a curated record